This 203-nucleotide ribosomal RNA is filed under the name uncultured bacterium. RNAcentral's name for it is "partial 16S ribosomal RNA". It matches the Rfam family "Bacterial small subunit ribosomal RNA", at positions 1299 to 1500 of the family's 1533-position model. The record is from RNAcentral.
UGUAGGCUGCAACUCGCCUACACGAAGUUGGAAUUGCUAGUAAUCGUGGAUCAGCAUGCCACGGUGAAUACGUUCCCGGGUCUUGUACACACCGCCCGUCACACCAUGGGAGCUGGUAACACCCGAAGUCAGUAGUCUAACCGCAAGGAGGACGCUGCCGAAGGUGGGGAUUAGCGACUGGGGUGAAGUCGUAACAAGGUAAC